RNAcentral lists this ribosomal RNA (160 nucleotides) under uncultured Lactobacillus sp. RNAcentral describes it as "partial 16S ribosomal RNA". It matches the Rfam family "Bacterial small subunit ribosomal RNA", at positions 355 to 507 of the family's 1533-position model. The record is from RNAcentral. Lineage: Bacteria; Bacillati; Bacillota; Bacilli; Lactobacillales; Lactobacillaceae.
UAGGGAAUCUUCCACAAUGGACGAAAGUCUGAUGGAGCAACGCCGCGUGAGUGAAGAAGGUUUUCGGAUCGUAAAACUCUGUUGUCAGAGAAGAACGUGUGCGAGAGUAACUGUUCGUGCAGUGACGGUAUCUGGCCAGAAAGCCACGGCUAACUACGUG